This 478-nucleotide ribosomal RNA is filed under the name uncultured bacterium. RNAcentral's name for it is "bacterial SSU rRNA". It matches the Rfam family "Bacterial small subunit ribosomal RNA", at positions 364 to 832 of the family's 1533-position model. The record is from RNAcentral.
UUUCGCAAUGCCCGAAAGGGUGACGAAGCGACGCCGCGUGCGGGAAGAAGGCCUUCGGGUUGUAAACCGCUGUCGGGAGUUAAGAAGUGCAAGGGUGUUAAUAGCAUCUUUGCUUGACUAAGGCUCCGGAGGAAGCCACGGCUAGCUCUGUGCCAGCAGCCGCGGUAAUACAGAGGCGGCAAGCGUUGUUCGGAAUUAUUGGGCGUAAAGAGCACGUAGGCGGCUAUGCAAGUCGGUUGUGAAAGCCUUCCGCUCAACGGAAGAACGGCAUCCGAUACUGCAUGGCUCGAGUGCGGGAGGGGAGAGUGGAACUUCUGGUGGAGCGGUGAAAUGCGUAGAUAUCAGAAGGAACACCGGCGGCGAAAGCGACUCUCUAACCCGUAACUGACGCUGAGUGUGCGAAAGCUAGGGGAGCAAACGGGAUUAGAUACCCCGGUAGUCCUAGCCGUAAACGAUGGGCACUAAGUAGAGGGGUUUU